This is an RNA transcript of Aedes aegypti (yellow fever mosquito), 1793 nucleotides long. It is a transcript of the gene named tRNA (guanine(37)-N1)-methyltransferase, with no coding region annotated. The record is from RefSeq and is a predicted model, not a curated record. The transcript has 3 exons. Lineage: Eukaryota; Metazoa; Arthropoda; Insecta; Diptera; Culicidae.
AAAGUUCCCGCUUUGUGAAUGUUAUUCCGCAGAUUUUUAAACCUGACGACAAAAACGCCGCAUUUGCAAACUUUUCGCGCGCGACAUUACUUUCGGAACAUGUCUUGUCCGGAGUUGAUUCCCCCGCCGACUGUUCGCGGAAUGACCGUACUGGACAAGGGUGCCUUCGACAAAAGAAUUAGUGCUCCCCGGCUGAUUGUCCCCCGCCAGCUAAACUUCCAGCAGAUAUGUUCCUCGGUGAAAAAACUGCUACUAAAGAUGGAAUGUUUCAAACCGGUAGUGUCCGGAGAAUACAAAAUAACGCUGCAUCCUUCAGCGGUGAAGACCUGGGAAGAUCUGAAGGAAAUUGGCCUGGAGGACAAGGGAUUGACCGAAGAGAAUCUUGUUUGGGAGGAGAUGAAGUUGGGGUACGAUAAUUGGCGUUACGAUGAAAUAUUGAAGGCAGUUCUGCCGGAGGACAAAGAAGCUCUAUCGGCGUUCUCCAAGGUGGGGCAUAUAGUCCACUUGAACUUAAAGGAACAUUUGUUGCCGUACAAGAAUCUAAUUGGGACGGUUAUUAAGGACAAGGUUGUUGGUUGUAGAGCCGUAGUCAACAAGCUGGUAACGAUAGAUAAUACUUACCGGAACUUCCAAAUGGAACUGCUCUGCGGAGAGGAAGAUUACCAGGUAUCGUUGAAGGAAAAUGGAUGCAUUUUUGAGUUCGACUUCUCCAAAGUGUAUUGGAACUCAAGACUUUCAACGGAGCAUGGACGAGUGGUCGAAAUGCUGAAGAAGGGGGAUGUUCUACUCGACGUUUACGCUGGUGUAGGCCCCUUUAGUAUACCCGCAGCGAAAAAGGGUUAUUCCGUUCUGGCCAACGAUCUCAACCCCGAUUCGUACAAAGCCUUGGUGCAUAAUUGCGCUAAAAAUAAAGUACAGGGACGAAUCACAUGUUUCAAUAAAAACGGGAUCGAUUUCAUCAAAGAAGAAAUCAAGCAGUUCAUAAUUUCCAAAAACCAAGACGAUACGUUUACAGGAACUAUUCACAUUACAAUGAAUCUUCCAGCAUUAGCUGUGGAGCAUUUGGAAAACUACGUUGGCUUGCUUAAAGAUGAACAAAUCGAACUCAAGCACUUCCCAUUAGUACAUGUCUACUGUUUCGCAAAGGGUGUAGAAGAUAACAAACUUCUUGCCCGAGGCUUGGUCGAGAAAAACAUGGGCAUUCCACUAGGGAACAAUUUAAAGGAAAUUGCCUUUGUGAGGAAUGUGGCUCCCAAUAAGGACAUGAUGCGAGUUAGCUUCUACCUAACCAGGCAAAUUUUGUGCCACAAUGAUAUCCAGCUUAAACGACCGACAUCGGAGACUAGUCAUCAAGAUGCUAAACGAAAAUGUCCUGCGGAAGAUUGCUACGAUGGGCAAAAGGAACAUCAAAAAUCGGAACCAACAGAAACAGACGGCCAAAAAAGUUAAGAAUGUCUUCGCCGUCAAUCAGUCGAAGAAAGGCAACGUCAAGAAAGCGAAAGAGGUGACAUCGAAGCUGAAGAAGAUCAAUGUACAGGAUAAACGCGAAAAAGCAGACAAGAAGUUCCAGGAUCUUCACGCUCACAUUGUGGCCAAAAAGCCGGAAAAGAAACCCUUGCCUGCAAAACCUGCUUCUAAGAAAAAUAAAAAUCAAGCCAACACAAAACAGGUUGAAGCGGGGCUGGAUAAGAUGCAGAUGUAGUAGCAGAACUAUCCGAUAAGUACCAGAUUUUUCCUAUACUGUACCUAUUUUGCAUUAUUGUAUGGAUUGUUUAAACUACGUGUGACUUGGA